This 460-nucleotide ribosomal RNA is filed under the name uncultured bacterium. RNAcentral describes it as "partial 16S ribosomal RNA". It matches the Rfam family "Bacterial small subunit ribosomal RNA", at positions 338 to 795 of the family's 1533-position model. The record is from RNAcentral.
CCUACGGGUGGCAGCAGUGAGGAAUAUUGGUCAAUGGACGAGAGUCUGAACCAGCCAAGUAGCGUGCAGGAUGACUGCCCUAUGGGUUGUAAACUUCUUUUAUAUGGGAGUAAAAUGUUCCACGUGUGUGGUUUUGUAUGUAUCAUAUGAAUAAGGAUCGGCUAACUCCGUGCCAGCAGCCGCGGUAAUACGGAGGAUCCGAGCGUUAUCCGGAUUUAUUGGGUUUAAAGGGAGCGUAGGUGGAUUGUUAAGUCAGUUGUGAAAGUUUGCGGCUCAACCGUAAAAUUGCAGUUGAAACUGGCAGUCUUGAGUAAAGUAGAGGUGGGCGGAAUGCGUGGUGUAGCGGUGAAAUGCUUAGAGGUCACGCAGAACUCCGAUUGCGAAGGCAGUUCACUGGACUGCAACUGACACUGAGGCUCGAAAGUGUGGGUAUCAAACAGGAUUAGAUACCCUGGUAGUC